This 1380-nucleotide ribosomal RNA is filed under the name metagenome. Its description in RNAcentral is "bacterial LSU rRNA". It matches the Rfam family "Bacterial large subunit ribosomal RNA", at positions 1567 to 2925 of the family's 2925-position model. The record is from RNAcentral.
GGAUGGGAGCCGUUAUGGCUCGAUAUCCGGUUGUCCAGGCCGUCGAGAAAAGCCUCGGCGUGAGGGCCAUGGCCGCCCGUACCCCAAACCGACACUGGUGGUCAGGUAGAGAAUACCAAGGCGAUCGAGCGAAUCCUGGUCAAGGAACUCGGCAAAUCACUCCCGUGCCUUCGGUAUAAGGGAGACCCGCUGGGGUGAAGGACCUUGCGUCCGGAGCUUUGGUGGGUGGCACAGACCAGGGGGUAGCGACUGUUUACCAAAAACACAGGUGCAUGCGAAGGCGAAAGCCGCUGUAUAUGCACUGACGCCUGCCCGGUGCCGGAUGGUUAAGAGGAUCCGUCAAUCCCUUCGGGGACGAAGCGGUGAAUUCAAGCCCCGGUAAACGGCGGUGGUAACAAUAACCAUCCUAAGGUAGCGAAAUUCCUUGUCGGGUAAGUUCCGACCUGCACGAAUGGCGUAACGACUUCCCCACUGUCUCGACCAGGAGCUCGGCGAAAUUGCAGUACGAGUAAAGAUGCUCGUUAAGCGCAGAAGGACGAAAAGACCCCGGGACCUUUACUAUACCUUGGUAUUGGCGUUAGGCGCGGAUUGUGUAGCAUAGGCGGGAGGCUUCGAAGCGGGUGCGCCAGCAUUCGUGGAGCCGCAAGGUGAAAUACCGCUCUGUUCUCGUUUGACGUCUAACCUCGACAAGUCAUCCUUGUCAGGGACAGUGCCUGGCGGGUAGUUCAACUGGGGCGGUUGCCUCCCAAAGAGUAACGGAGGCGCUCAAAGGUCCGCUCAGCCCGGUUGGCAAUCGGGUGUCGAGUGUAAUCGCACAAGCGGGCUUGACUGCGAGGACGACGGUCCGAGCAGGGACGAAAGUCGGAGAUAGUGAUCCGGUGCCGGCGCACGGGCGCGGCAUCGCUCAACGGAUAAAAGGUACCCCGGGGAUAACAGGCUGAUCAUUCCCAAGAGUCCAUAUCGACGGGAUGGUUUGGCACCUCGAUGUCGGCUCGUCGCAUCCUGGGGCUGGAGCAGGUCCCAAGGGUUCGGCUGUUCGCCGAUUAAAGCGGCACGCGAGCUGGGUUCAGAACGUCGUGAGACAGUUUGGUCUCUAUCCUCUGCGCUCGUUGGAAUCCUGAGGAGGCCUGCCCAUAGUACGAGAGGACCUGGGUGGACGAACCUCUGGUAUGCCGGUUGUCGCGCCAGCGGCACGGCCGGUUGGCUACGUUCGGGAGGGAUAACCGCUGAAAGCAUCUAAGCGGGAAGCCUGCUCCAAGAUUAGGAUUCCAUGGAUCUUCGAGAUCCUGUAGCCCGCAUGUUGAACACGUGUUUGAUAGGCCGGAGGUGGAAGCCCCGUGAGGGGUGGAGCCGACCGGUACUAACGGGCGACGGCGACAU